This is a non-coding RNA of Poecilia reticulata (guppy), 276 nucleotides long. NCBI's taxonomy places the organism in Eukaryota, Metazoa, Chordata, Actinopteri, Cyprinodontiformes, Poeciliidae. The record is from RefSeq and is a predicted model, not a curated record.
CAAAACUUUCCCCGAAGAAGACGACUCUCCUCUCGACAGUGGUAAAGUGACCUCUGUUGCUAACUGCUGGCCUGCUAUUGAACCAUGCCUCCUCCUGUCGCAGUGUCGCCUUUAAUAAAGACUGCCAGGUAUUCAGCUUUAAUUGCUGGCAUUAUCUACGGUAAACGGCGAUAUGAUUAUCUGAAGCCUAUUGCAGCCGAGGACAGGAGGAUUGAGGAGGAGGAGAAGAAAAUUCGACAGGAGCAGGAGAGGAUUGCCAAGGAGUUAGCAGAAGGU